Ailuropoda melanoleuca (giant panda) is the source of this 341-nucleotide long non-coding RNA. RefSeq lists it as uncharacterized. NCBI's taxonomy places the organism in Eukaryota, Metazoa, Chordata, Mammalia, Carnivora, Ursidae. The transcript is spliced from 2 exons. The record is from RefSeq and is a predicted model, not a curated record.
UCGGCCGCAGUCUUCUGGGAGGCCACGACAACGUCCCUGAAGCCGGCUCCCGGGGGCGAGGCCUCCCUCUCACCUGAGCGAGGCUGGGCUGGGCCCGGGUACGCGCGGGCCUCGGUUUCCACACCAGGAACCGUUUUAGCCAGCCUGGGGCUGCCUUUGGAGUUGCAGUUGCUUCCGCCUUCUCUCCUGAGGUCUGCCACCCUUGCACUUGGAGGAUGACUGUCACCGCUCGCUCAGUCUCAGCAGGCCAUGCAGACCCUCUAUCAUAGCUUUUGCCACAAUGCAAACUACCUCUCGGUGUGUCGAGAUGGGUCAGAAACUAAAAAUACAAAAAACAAAAA